RNAcentral lists this transfer RNA (71 nucleotides) under Planctomycetia bacterium. RNAcentral describes it as "tRNA-Met". It matches the Rfam family "tRNA". From Rfam's summary of the family: Transfer RNA (tRNA) molecules are approximately 80 nucleotides in length. Lineage: Bacteria; Pseudomonadati; Planctomycetota; Planctomycetia. The record is from RNAcentral.
AGCGGAGUAGACCAAUAGUAGGUCGAAAGCCUCAUAAGCUUUAGAUGUUGGUGCAAUUCCAACCUCCGCAA